GCCUGGGUGGCUCAGUCGGUUGAGUGUCUGACUUCAGCUCAGGUCAUGACCUCACGGUUCAUGGCUUUGAGCCCCAUGUCAGGCU
RNAcentral lists this transfer RNA (85 nucleotides) under Felis catus (domestic cat). It matches the Rfam family "tRNA". Rfam says of the family: Transfer RNA (tRNA) molecules are approximately 80 nucleotides in length. Lineage: Eukaryota; Metazoa; Chordata; Mammalia; Carnivora; Felidae. The record is from Rfam by way of RNAcentral.